This 612-nucleotide ribosomal RNA is filed under the name uncultured bacterium. RNAcentral describes it as "bacterial SSU rRNA". It matches the Rfam family "Bacterial small subunit ribosomal RNA", at positions 338 to 948 of the family's 1533-position model. The record is from RNAcentral.
CCUACGGGAGGCAGCAGUAAGGAAUAUUGGACAAUGCUCGCAAGAGUGAUCCAGCCAUGCCGCGUGCAGGAAGAAUGCCCUAUGGGUAGUAAACUGCUUUUGAACUAGAGAAAACCCCAGUACGUGUACUGGGCUGAUAGUAUAGUUAGAAUAAGCAUCGGCUAACUUCGUGCCAGCAGCCGCGGUAAGACGAAGGAUGCAAGCGUUAUCCGGAUUCAUUGGGUUUAAAGGGAGCGUAGGUGGACUGAUAAGUCAGUGGUGAAAUCUCCGAGCUUAACUCGGAAAUUGCCAUUGAUACUGUUGGUCUUGAGUACAGUUGCUGUGGGCGGAAUAUGACAUGUAGUGGUGAAAUACAUAGAGAUGUCAUAGAACACCGAUUGCGAAGGCAGCUCACAAAGCUGUAACUGACACUGAGGCUCGAAAGUGCGGGGAUCAAACAGGAUUAGAUACCCUGGUAGUCCGCACCGUAAACGAUGAUUACUCGCUGCUAGGGGGCAACCUUUAGUGGCUUAGCGAAAGCGAUAAGUAAUCCACCUGGGGAGUACGCCGGCAACGGUGAAACGUCAAAUGAAUUGACGGCGNGAGAGNGCGAGACGACGACGAGGGAGGAGG